Molecule: ribosomal RNA, 253 nt
Filed under: uncultured bacterium
Lineage: Bacteria
Description: partial 16S ribosomal RNA
Rfam family: Bacterial small subunit ribosomal RNA
Source: RNAcentral
UACGUAGGUGACAAGCGUUGUCCGGAUUUACUGGGCGUAAAGAGCGCGCAGGCGGUCGUUCAAGUCGAGUGUGAAAGCCCCCGGCUCAACUGGGGAGGGUCAUUCGAUACUGAUCGACUCGAAGGCAGGAGAGGGUAGUGGAAUUCCCGGUGUAGUGGUGAAAUGCGCAGAUAUCAGGAGGAACACCGGUGGCGAAGGCGGUUCUCUGGGCCUGUUCUGACGCUGAGGAGCGAAAGCGUGGGGAGCGAACAGG